This 65-nucleotide transfer RNA is filed under the name Dipodomys ordii (Ord's kangaroo rat). It matches the Rfam family "tRNA". From Rfam's summary of the family: Transfer RNA (tRNA) molecules are approximately 80 nucleotides in length. Lineage: Eukaryota; Metazoa; Chordata; Mammalia; Rodentia; Heteromyidae. The record is from Rfam by way of RNAcentral.
GGUGGCUCAGUGGUAGAGCUCUUGCCUUGCAUGCAUGAGGCCCUGGGUUUGAUUCCCCAGCACCA